RNAcentral lists this non-coding RNA (236 nucleotides) under unclassified sequences. RNAcentral describes it as "Clostridiales-3 RNA". It matches the Rfam family "Clostridiales-3 RNA". The record is from Rfam by way of RNAcentral.
AGGAGAGUUGAUGGACCGAGAGGUGAAGAUGGAGCAGGUACAGAUUGGAUUGAUUACGGCGGAAGGAUAAUAACUCACGAAGGGAGCUUGAAGUGGUUUCCUGGCCCUCGAAAUAAGCAGCAGAGGGGACGAGCGGUAUAGAAUACCGGUCUUGUGAACAUCAGAGGAUGUCAUGCGGCAGGGUUGCCAGUAACUCCCACGUACACGGGGCGAAGAGGAACAAGCGUGUACUUACA